This is a long non-coding RNA of Manihot esculenta (cassava), 876 nucleotides long. RefSeq lists it as uncharacterized. The record is from RefSeq and is a predicted model, not a curated record. The transcript has 2 exons. NCBI's taxonomy places the organism in Eukaryota, Viridiplantae, Streptophyta, Magnoliopsida, Malpighiales, Euphorbiaceae.
AGCCCUUAAAUCCCAACCCUCAAUCUCUGUCAACUCUCUAAGUCUACUGUCGCCCUCCCCUCCCCCAUCCGGCCUCUUCGUCACUCGUCUGGUAUAGCCGUGCGCCUCCCGCCGCCGAUCGUUCCUCUGCUCCACGCUGUCAACGGCGUUCUGCGUCCGGUUCCUGCGUCCGCUGGUCUGCUUGCUUCUUUGCUCUUCUCCGCCGCUUCAUCUGCUCCCGGGAACGCAGCUCCUGCACCAUCGGGUUCACCUGUUUUCUUGUUCGUUCUCGAUACAUACAUGAUCGAGGAGGAGUUUGGGUUCGUAAAAUCGGCUCUCAAACGCGCGAUCGGGUUGUUGCCGGAUAACGCGCUUGUUGGGUUCGUUUCGUUUGGGACACAGACCUAUCGGUUUCCUCUGGGCCUUGAACUUGCUGAGGAGCUCUCGAUCUCCCACUCUACCUUUGAUGUUGAUUUGUUUCUUGGUAUUGCAGAAACAUGGAAUAGAAAGUCAAUCUCCAGACAACAGGGUACUAAACCUGGAGAAUAUGAACAAAACCAGACAUUGGAAAAUCGUGGGCUGUAGCGCAUACAAUGAACAAAACCAGACAUUGGAAAAUCGUGGGCUGUAGCGCAUACACAGGGGAGGGGCUGCUUGAGGGAUUUGAUUGGUUGGUUCAGGACAUGAUGAUACUUUAGGAUUUAGUCAAAUUAAGCAAUAGAGUUAGGGUUUUUUUUAUUGGCCCUCUCAGAGAACUGAUUAAAAUCCAUUUGUACUGUUUUAUUAACUAUCUUAUUGUUGUGGAAUUUAGUCAAGCUACGAAUUCGACAAAAAAAAAAAAAGUCAAAGCUGUGAAACUUUUUGGUUCAAUAGUAUUAUUGAAACUUUCAAUGGAAA